Callorhinus ursinus (northern fur seal) is the source of this 347-nucleotide long non-coding RNA. RefSeq lists it as uncharacterized. The record is from RefSeq and is a predicted model, not a curated record. Lineage: Eukaryota; Metazoa; Chordata; Mammalia; Carnivora; Otariidae.
CCAGAGCGCCUUGGGAUUCUGACGGGUCUGAGUAGGCAUCUGCAGGUUCCCGGCUGGAUGACCUUGAGCAAGUUUACCUGCUCUGCUCUGUCGGAUGGAGGAUUAAAUGAGAUCAUGGAACGUUAUUCAGCCAGAAAAAGGGAUGAAGUCCUGGUGCAAGUUACAACACCUGUGAACUUUGAAAACUAACUGGAAGAAGCCGGACACAAAAGGUCACAUACUGUACGAUACCACGUAUAUGAAAUGUUCGGAAUGGAUUGCCCUUUCGUGGCAUAUUUAAAGAGUCUCCGAGGUAAAUCUCAGUGAAACAAUGGCCACACAGUCCAUCAGGAGCGAAGCCAGGAGCA